CAGAGCUUCUUAUCCUUCACCGAGGUGUUUCCAUCUUCUCCAGUCCUAGAGGGUGAGAGGGACCGGUGCUCAGCUCCUUCUGCAUGACUGCCCCACGUAAAGACUGCAGCACCGCAGCAGCGAUGCCCAGGUGGUCCCGGCAGCCUGGGUGGUCCUGUACCUGGAUGUCUGCUUCUCACCUCCAUUCUGUCCUGGUCCUGCUGUUUAGUUGCUGUUUAGUUGUCUUCUCCCAGGUAGCAGCAUUGUGCCAAUUCUCUCCAGUUCUCACCAUAUGGAUUUCUGUUCCUCCAUGUCUCACCGGUGGCAUCGUAGGAAAAGUCAGAUCCCUACCAUGCAGGCUGGGGGGAUUGGGUUUUGCUCCAGAGGAUGCUCUUCGUCUCCCCAUGUGCCUGUACUCUUUGCAAUACCUGCCUUAAGGUCUCUUCAUGCAAAUGAGGCAUUAAAACCUGAUGGCCAAGCACUAAUUGCAGGGCUGCAGCCUCUGGAGAUGAUGCUCUGGGAAGCAUGGACCACAUCCUCGGGACAUCCCAGGACACCAAGGCAGCAGCGGUUGCGGCAUCAGGUUUAGAGCUGAAUGCUUUUAAUGCUGAACUAAGGGUGAAUUGCUAAGGGUGAAUGCUAAGGGUGAAUUAAUUAAUCCUACUAUCCCAUUAAGCCAGGGGGAACACCAGGCUGGGGCCCGGUUGUGCAGAGAGGAUCCGAGCUCCUACUCUCCAUGCCAGGAGCCCAGCUGGGAAUCACUCACCGUGAGGGGAGGGCACAAACCCCAUUGCCCCUUCCUGCUGCUGGAUUCUGUGUUUGUCCCCUCAGCCCUGGGGUCUGGACACCCUGUCCCCAGGGAUGCUGGGGUUGGUGCUGUGCCCCCUGUUCCUGUCACGCCUGUUGCGAUAGGGGCUGCCAAGCCAUGACAGGGGCAGGUACCCGCAAUGGGGACAGGUACCUGUCCCUGGAGCGCUGCCACCCGCCGUGUACCUGCGGAGCUGCCGAGCAGUGUGGCUGGCCGUCUGUCCCAGGAACCACAGCCACCUGAGGGAAACAUGACCUGGGUCUUGGCCCUAAAAGCUGUCCCUCCCUGCACCCGGGCUGGGAUUCAGUGGUGGGUGGGUGCGGAGCUGUGUGCUGGCAGGGCAUGGUGGUGGCAGUGCUCUGUCCCCCAGGGAUGUGGGAUCCCGUUAUCUUAUUAAGAGCGGCCAAGUCACCAUCCCGGAGUAAGUGGCUGGAGCCGUGACUAGACUACAGUAAUCCCGGGGGAUUAGUGCGUUCAGCCAGGGCCAGCACCACAGCAGCAUUUUUUUUCUUAGGUCCGUGAAGCUUCUCCUCUGCCUUCAGCCCAGGGGCAGCUGCGAUGCUUCUCCUCCUCCCUGCUUUGGGGCUGCUUUCUGGGCAUCCCAGAAAACCAGAAGAAUUGUUUGGGUU
Molecule: long non-coding RNA, 1416 nt
Filed under: Calidris pugnax (ruff)
Lineage: Eukaryota; Metazoa; Chordata; Aves; Charadriiformes; Scolopacidae
Description: lncRNA (ENSCPUG00000012498.1)
Source: RNAcentral